RNAcentral lists this ribosomal RNA (392 nucleotides) under uncultured Gammaproteobacteria bacterium. RNAcentral's name for it is "bacterial SSU rRNA". It matches the Rfam family "Bacterial small subunit ribosomal RNA", at positions 370 to 779 of the family's 1533-position model. Lineage: Bacteria; Pseudomonadati; Pseudomonadota; Gammaproteobacteria. The record is from RNAcentral.
AAUGGGGGAAACCCUGAUCCAGCAAUGCCGCGUGUGUGAAGAAGGCCUGCGGGUUGUAAAGCACUUUCAGUAGGGAAGAUAAUGACGGUACCUACAGAAGAAGCACCGGCUAACUCCGUGCCAGCAGCCGCGGUAAUACGGAGGGUGCGAGCGUUAAUCGGAAUUACUGGGCGUAAAGCGCACGUAGGUGGUUUGGUAAGUCGGAUGUGAAAUCCCCGGGCUCAACCUGGGAAUUGCAUUCGAUACUGCCUAACUAGAGUCUAGCAGAGGGAUGCGGAAUUCCGGGUGUAGCGGUGAAAUGCGUAGAGAUCCGGAGGAACAUCAGUGGCGAAGGCGGCAUCCUGGGCUAAGACUGACACUGAGGUGCGAAAGCGUGGGGAGCAAACAGGAUU